GUCUACGGCCAUACCACCCUGAACACACCCGAUCUCCUCUGAUCUCGGAAGCUAAGCAGGGUCGGGCCUGGUUAGUACCUGGAUGGGAGAUUACCUCUUUGCUUUCAAGUUAUUUAGGUU
Erinaceus europaeus (western European hedgehog) is the source of this 120-nucleotide ribosomal RNA. The record is from Ensembl. NCBI's taxonomy places the organism in Eukaryota, Metazoa, Chordata, Mammalia, Eulipotyphla, Erinaceidae.